CCUACGGGAGGCAGCAGUAGGGAAUGUUCGUCAAUGGGCGCAAGCCUGAACGAGCAAUGCCGCGUGAACGAGGAAGGUCUUCGGAUCGUAAAGUUCUGUUGAAGGGGAAAAAGAGCGGAGAGAGGAAAUGGUCUCCGAUUGAUAUUACCAGUCGAGGAAGGCACGGCUAACUACGUGCCAGCAGCCGCGGUAAUACGUAGGUGGCGAGCGUUAUCCGGAAUGAUUGGGCGUAAAGGGUGCGUAGGCGGCCUGCUAAGUCUGGAGUGAAAGGUACCGGCUCAACCGGUACAGGCUCUGGAAACUGGCGGGCUAGAGUGCAGGAGAGGGCGGUGGAACUCCCUGUGUAGCGGUCAACUGCGUAGAUAUCUGGAAGACCACCAGUGGCGACGGCGGCCGCCUGGCCUGUUACUGCCGCUGAGGCACGAAAGCGUGGGUAGCACAUAGGAUUAGAUACCCCAGUAGUC
RNAcentral lists this ribosomal RNA (464 nucleotides) under uncultured bacterium. RNAcentral's name for it is "partial 16S ribosomal RNA". It matches the Rfam family "Bacterial small subunit ribosomal RNA", at positions 338 to 795 of the family's 1533-position model. The record is from RNAcentral.